UUUGUUCUCUUCUCAUAACUAGAGCUUCUCCUAUCUCUCUCAUAGCCAAAGCUCAUUCUUCCUCUUCUCCAAACCCAUUUCCAAUAUUCCCUUCACAAACCCAGACUCUCUCCCUCUAUCUGGUCACUAUAAAGUACAUCUCAUAAACUUUAAGAAGGCAAUUUAUUUCUUCCAUCGUGUUGUUCGAUGCCACUUAUUUGAAUAAGCUCAGUCUUGAACCAUGCACACAAAAUCUCUUUUCGAAAAUUUAUGUUCAAAAUCUUAUUUGUGCACGUUUCGUCUCAUGAAAGGUAUGAUUGGCUUUUGAAUGCUACGUGUUUAUGGUUUUUUUCUAUCACUUGAAUUUGUUUCUAACACAGUGGUUUUGAUGACGCUUAUUUGAAUAAACUCAGUCUUGAACCAUGCACUAAAAGCCUCCUUUUGCAAAUUUAUGUUGCUUAUAUUGUAUAUGUUAGUGUUUCAUCUUAUUUGUGCACUUUUCAUAUCAUGUUAACAGUUCAAGGUAAUGUUUGUCCAAAGAUUGACAGAGGUGUUAGGAGGGACUUGAUUAACAUGCAAACCUUUUACAUGGAGUAUGACAUAUGCUAUGUGAUUUGUUCCUAAGUCAUGGAGACAAUUGAAACUCCAACAAGCAAAUCAACUAGAAAAAGGCUAGCUGCGAGUUUGGAAGGGCUAGAUUCAAUUAAUAUUGAGGGUGGAGAAAUUUUUGCAACUAAAGAGUACAAAAUGGUUGCUUGAAGAUUAAGGAUUUGAAGUGAACCAAGCUAACAAGCUUGGAUGGUGUGAUAUAUGUGGUGCCUAUGUUCUACUCCUUUAUUUGCUUAUACUUCUUAUUUUGCCGUGUUUUGUAUUUUUCUCUGUAAUAUGAACUAAGAACUGUCGUUGUUGGCCACUUUUGCAUCUAAGUUUUGAUGUAUGUUUUGCACUUUUUUUGUAUUCAUCUAUGACUUGCAUGAAUAGUUAAUCUUAGUUGGAUGAAUUUAUUGUUGG
RNAcentral lists this long non-coding RNA (990 nucleotides) under Medicago truncatula (barrel medic). Its description in RNAcentral is "long non-coding RNA (MTRU_LNC000080)". The record is from RNAcentral. Lineage: Eukaryota; Viridiplantae; Streptophyta; Magnoliopsida; Fabales; Fabaceae.